ACUGCUUUCAACUGCUUUUCUAGGGGUGGAAUUAACCUUUACUGCAUUGCUAGCGUUUUAGAGCUUGAAAUAACUAGCACUCAUACGGAUUGGACUUAAACCGUGCUACUAGGCUUAAAAGAAAAGCUUUCACUCUCCCCCCCGAACCGCCCUAUUACACCUAGGCUCAUAUGCUCUUCAAAAGGAAAAUAGGUUUACUUUAUUUCAUUUUGGUUAUGGAAAGUUAAAGUAGUCAAGUUGAC
This 242-nucleotide long non-coding RNA is filed under the name Cicer arietinum (chickpea). Its description in RNAcentral is "long non-coding RNA (CARI_LNC002817)". The record is from RNAcentral. Lineage: Eukaryota; Viridiplantae; Streptophyta; Magnoliopsida; Fabales; Fabaceae.